AUUGAACGCUGGCGGCAGGCUUAACACAUGCAAGUCGAACGGCAGCGGGGACUUCGGUCCGCCGGCGAGUGGCGAGCGGGUGAGUAAUGUAUCGGAACGUACCAUUGAGUGGGGGAUAACGUAGCGAAAGUUACGCUAAUACCGCAUAUUCUCUCCGGAGGAAAGCAGGGGACCGCAAGGCCUUGCGCUCUUUGAGCGGCCGAUAUCAGAUUAGCUAGUUGGUGGGGUAAAGGCUCACCAAGGCGACGAUCUGUAGCGGGUCUGAGAGGAUGAUCCGCCACAAUGGAACUAGGACACGGUCCAGACUCCUACGGGAGGCAGCAGUGGGGAAUUUUGGACAAUGGGGGCAACCCUGAUCCAGCCAGGCCGCGUGAGUGAAGAAGGCCUUCGGGUUGUAAAGCUCUUUCAGCCGGGAAAAAAUCGCAUGGGCUAAUACCCUGUGUGGAUGAUGGUACCGGAAUAAGAAGCACCGACUAACUACGUGCCAGCAGCCGCCGCCG
RNAcentral lists this ribosomal RNA (500 nucleotides) under uncultured bacterium. RNAcentral describes it as "partial 16S ribosomal RNA". It matches the Rfam family "Bacterial small subunit ribosomal RNA", at positions 30 to 523 of the family's 1533-position model. The record is from RNAcentral.